This 253-nucleotide ribosomal RNA is filed under the name uncultured bacterium. RNAcentral's name for it is "partial 16S ribosomal RNA". It matches the Rfam family "Bacterial small subunit ribosomal RNA", at positions 524 to 776 of the family's 1533-position model. The record is from RNAcentral.
UACGAAGGGGGCUAGCGUUGUUCGGAAUUACUGGGCGUAAAGGGCUCGUAGGCGGCCAACUAAGUCAGACGUGAAACCCCUCGGCUUAACCGGGGAACUGCGUCUGAUACUGGAUGGCUAGAGGUUGGGAGAGGGAUGCGGAAUUCCAGGUGUAGCGGUGAAAUGCGUAGAUAUCUGGAGGAACACCGGUGGCGAAGGCGGCAUCCUGGACCAAUUCUGACGCUGAGGAGCGAAAGCCAGGGGAGCAAACGGG